Molecule: long non-coding RNA, 217 nt
Filed under: Glycine max (soybean)
Lineage: Eukaryota; Viridiplantae; Streptophyta; Magnoliopsida; Fabales; Fabaceae
Description: long non-coding RNA (GMAX_LNC004723)
Source: RNAcentral
GGUUAUUGUAGUAGUAUAGAUUAUUUAAAUUCAAUUGUUGUGUUUGACUUACCCAUUCAGGUAGGCUCCAAGGUAAACAUCUCGUUUAGAACUCUGUAUCCAACUCUUGAUGUAACUUUCGGAUUCAAAUUGUGAUUGCCCAGAUCUCUGAAUGGACUGUGGCUCGAGGAAUCCAUACACAUCAGAAUUCCCCGCUCACACACUUGUCUCAGUCAGA